This is a long non-coding RNA of Phyllostomus discolor (pale spear-nosed bat), 1415 nucleotides long. RefSeq lists it as uncharacterized. NCBI's taxonomy places the organism in Eukaryota, Metazoa, Chordata, Mammalia, Chiroptera, Phyllostomidae. The record is from RefSeq and is a predicted model, not a curated record. The transcript has 3 exons.
GAGUGAAAUAUCGAUGUAAGAGGGAAGCAUCAAUUGCCUGCCUCCCACAUGCCUCCUGAUCGGGGAUCGAACCUGCAACCCCUUGGUGUACAGGACACAGCUCCAGGGCUGGCUUUGGGAAAGGCCUGUUUCCUGGCACUCAGAGGAACCAGUCUUGGCGUGAACAGCCCCUGACAAUUUCCAGCAUAUGGUAAGAGAAGACGCUUCUGCCCACCCAUCAGAUUAUUGCUUGUACGUUGGCGGCCUGUCAUGGGCUCCCUGGUCACGUCCCAGCGGAUUGGCACAUUCGUGGUACCUGGGCCUUGGCACCCACCCACGCUCUGCGGACCAGACGGAGUGUGCGGAGGCAAGGAUGUCUCUAUCUGCCUUUGUCUUUGAGAAAGUGAGUAAUUGUCUCUCUCCUCCCCUAGUCCCUCCAUGGAGAAUUUACUGGCCCAAAUUUUUAAAAAAGCUCCUACCACACUCCCAUUUUCUGCGAGUGCAAUUAGUUGCAGGUACAAAAUUUGGAGCAAAGAGGCCUCUCGUGGCCUGUUGUGCCCGCAGUUAUUCAACUGUGGCUUCAGUUUUUCAGUGCACAACUGAUUGCACCCUCAAAAAGAAAGGCUAAACUCUGGAAAUGGGUCCCUUUAAGACAGUUGGGGGAUUGCGUGCCUCCAGUUGGCAAAUUGCAAUCUUUUACAGAGGCACGGCCGUUGCCCCGGCUCGCGCUGCAAGUCUGAAAUUCAGGUUAGGCAUCUCGGGUGAGGGAGAGGCCCCCAGGAAGGCAGGUGCGGAGCCCCGCCCCCCACUCUGCCCCUGUCUCCGGGCUCACCUUGAGCUAAGGUAGACAGUGCAUUAGUAUUCACAUUCCUGACUCCCUGUCCUGCUUAGUUCGCCAGUCACUCUCCGAAAGGGCUGGAAGAGAGAAGCUCGGUCACACUGUCAAUAUAACACAUUUAACCAACUCUAAAUUUGCUUUAAAGAGACAGCUACAAAGAUUGACUUUUGCAAAGUGACUCACUCCACCAGGCAGCAAAGACACCCAUUUGCUUGUGACUGUUAUUAACUGUGUCACGGAGUACAUAAGAGAGGGGUUUGAAGGAAUUCCAGUGUGAAUCCACUAAUUCAAUAACUCGAUAACAUAAAUUCAAGUAAUGGAUAGUAAUACUAUGUUCAAAACACGCUCCCAACUUUCAUCUCUGCCUUUCCCCAACAGACAGAGCAUGCGUCGGGAGAGGAUCCUGAUGAAAUAAUAAAACCCAAUUCUCAUCUAGAAAAAAGAAUCAUUAUAGGAGGAUGGUAAUUUACUUUAUAUGACCUUCAAUUGAUUAUUCUGUGGCUGCUACACAAAUAUCACAGGAGCUAUUGAUCGUAAAACCUACCAAAUAGAUCUCUAAUAGCUUUUACUGGGCAAAAAUAAUUAUGCUUGCAUUGUG